GGUGAUAAAAUUUCGCUUACAAUGAAAAUUACCUUGUGGCACCUUUAUAUUAAAUAGUAGGUAUAA
This 66-nucleotide transfer RNA is filed under the name Sinogammarus chuanhui. RNAcentral's name for it is "tRNA-Val". The record is from RNAcentral. Lineage: Eukaryota; Metazoa; Arthropoda; Malacostraca; Amphipoda; Gammaridae.